Molecule: ribosomal RNA, 251 nt
Filed under: uncultured bacterium
Lineage: Bacteria
Description: partial 16S ribosomal RNA
Rfam family: Bacterial small subunit ribosomal RNA
Source: RNAcentral
UACGUAGGGGGCAAGCGUUGUCCGGAUUUACUGGGUGUAAAGGGUGCUCAGGUGGCUUGGAAAGUCAGUGGUGAAAUCUGAGAGCUUAACUCUCAAACUGCCAUUGAUACUUCUUAGCUUGAGUACGGAAGAGGCUGAUGGAAUUGCUGGUGUAGCGGUGAAAUGCGUAGAUCAGCAGGAACACCCGUGGCGAAGGCGGCCCCCUGGGCCGUACCUGACGCUGAGGCGCGAAGGCUAGGGGAGCGAACGGG